RNAcentral lists this ribosomal RNA (1321 nucleotides) under uncultured Pseudoalteromonas sp. RNAcentral's name for it is "partial 16S ribosomal RNA". It matches the Rfam family "Bacterial small subunit ribosomal RNA", at positions 150 to 1410 of the family's 1533-position model. The record is from RNAcentral. Lineage: Bacteria; Pseudomonadati; Pseudomonadota; Gammaproteobacteria; Alteromonadales; Pseudoalteromonadaceae.
UCGGAACGGACGCUAAUACCGCAUACGUCCUACGGGAGAAAGCAGGGGACCUUCGGGCCUUGCGCUAUCAGAUGAGCCUAGGUCGGAUUAGCUAGUUGGUGAGGUAAUGGCUCACCAAGGCUACGAUCCGUAACUGGUCUGAGAGGAUGAUCAGUCACACUGGAACUGAGACACGGUCCAGACUCCUACGGGAGGCAGCAGUGGGGAAUAUUGGACAAUGGGCGAAAGCCUGAUCCAGCCAUGCCGCGUGUGUGAAGAAGGUCUUCGGAUUGUAAAGCACUUUAAGUUGGGAGGAAGGGCAUUAACCUAAUACGUUAGUGUUUCGACGUUACCGACAGAAUAAGCACCGGCUAACUCCGUGCCAGCAGCCGCGGUAAUACGGAGGGUGCGAGCGUUAAUCGGAAUUACUGGGCGUAAAGCGUACGCAGGCGGUUUGUUAAGCGAGAUGUGAAAGCCCCGGGCUCAACCUGGGAACUGCAUUUCGAACUGGCAAACUAGAGUGUGAUAGAGGGUGGUAGAAUUUCAGGUGUAGCGGUGAAAUGCGUAGAGAUCUGAAGGANANUNACNCGNNAUGGCGAAGGCAGCCACCUGGGUCAACACUGACGCUCAUGUACGAAAGCGUGGGGAGCAAACGGGUAUUAGAUACCCCGGUAGUCCACGCCGUAAACGAUGUCUACUAGAAGCUCGGAGCCUCGGUUCUGUUUUUCAAAGCUAACGCAUUAAGUAGACCGCCUGGGGAGUACGGCCGCAAGGUUAAAACUCAAAUGAAUUGACGGGGGCCCGCACAAGCGGUGGAGCANUGUGGUUUAANUUCGAUGCAACGCGAAGAACCNUUACCUACACUUGACAUACAGAGAACNUUACCAGAGAUGGUUUGGUGCCUUCNGGGAANCUNCUGAUACAGGUGCNUGCANUGGCNUGUCGUNCAGCUCGUGUUNGUGNANGANUGUUGGGUUAAGUNCCCGCAANCNGAGCNGCAACCCCUAUCCUUAGNUUGCUAGCNAGGUAAUNGCNUNGAGAACUCUANNANNGGAGACUGCCGGNUGNAUAAACCGGAGGAAGNGUGGGGACNGACNNGUNCAAGUCNAUNCAUGNGCCCUUANCGNUGUAGGGCNUNANCACACGUNGNNUACNANAUGGCGCAUNACAGAGUNGNCNUGCGAACCUGCGAAGGUAAGCGAAUCACUUAAAGUGCGUCGUAGUCCGGAUUGGAGUCUGCAACUCGACUCCAUGAAGUCGGAAUCGCUAGUAAUCGCGUAUCAGAAUGACGCGGUGAAUACGUUCCCGGGCCUUGUACACACCGCCCGUCACACCAUGGGAG